GUCCACGCCAUAAACGAUGAGAACUGGAUGUUGGGAGCAUUAGGCUCCCGGUGUCGUAGCUAACGCGUUAAGUUCUCCGCCUGGGGAGUACGGCCGCAAGGUUGAAACUCAAAGGAAUUGACGGGGACCCCGCACAAGCGGUGGAGCAUGUGGUUUAAUUCGAUGCAACGCGAAGAACCUUACCUGGUCUUGACAUCCUAGGAAUCCUGCAGAGAUGUGGGAGUGCCUUCGGGAACCUGGAGACAGGUGCUGCAUGGCUGUCGU
Molecule: ribosomal RNA, 264 nt
Filed under: uncultured bacterium
Lineage: Bacteria
Description: partial 16S ribosomal RNA
Rfam family: Bacterial small subunit ribosomal RNA
Source: RNAcentral